Molecule: ribosomal RNA, 422 nt
Filed under: uncultured bacterium
Lineage: Bacteria
Description: bacterial SSU rRNA
Rfam family: Bacterial small subunit ribosomal RNA
Source: RNAcentral
UCGAGAAUCUUCGGCAAUGGGCGCAAGCCCGACCGAGCGACGUCGCGUGGAGGACGAAGGCCUUCGGGUUGUAAACUCCUGUCGGGGGGGAACAAGGGCCGGCGAAGAGCCGGACGUGAGUGAUCCCCGGAGGAAGCACGGGCUAAGUUCGUGCCAGCAGCCGCGGUAAGACGAACCGUGCGAACGUUAUUCGGAUUCACUGGGCUUAAAGGGCGCGUAGACGGGCGACCGCGUCGAUGGCUGAAAGCCCCCGGCUCAACCGGGGAAUGGGCCUCGAUACGGGUCGCCUCGAGUGGAGGAGGGGGACCUGGAACUUCCGGUGGAGCGGUGAAAUGCGUUGAGAUCGGAAGGAACGCCUGCGGCGAAAGCGAGGUCCUGGACUCCCACUGACGUUGAGGCGCGAAAGCCAGGGGAGCGAACGG